Molecule: long non-coding RNA, 171 nt
Organism: Dermochelys coriacea (leatherback sea turtle)
Lineage: Eukaryota; Metazoa; Chordata; Testudines; Dermochelyidae
Exons: 3
Source: RefSeq, a predicted model, not a curated record
CUGGGCAGGGUUUCAAAGGAGCUGUCCGCCACGGGAACUGAGACAAGUGUUGCAGGAAGUGCGGCUACUCCAACGAGACCUUGCCCCACGUCCUGUGCAGCUGAAAGCCCCACUCCAGAGCCUGGCAGCUGCGCCACAAUGCCAUCCAGAACCGCCUAGCGAAAGCCAUCG